CCCUUAGAUGUUCUGGGCCGCACGCGCGCUACACUGACGAAUGCAACGAGCUUAUAAUAACCUUGGCCGAAAGGUCUGGGUAAUCUCCAAAUUUCGUCGUGAUGGGGAUAGAUUAUUGCAAUUAUUAAUCUUCAACGAGGAAUGCCUAGUAAGCGCAAGUCAUCAGCUUGCGUUGAUUACGUCCCUGCCCUUUGUACACACCGCCCGUCGCUCCUACCGAUUGAAUGGUCCGGUGAAGCGUUCGGACCGUGGCCUUUGGACGGUUCGCCGUCUGUUGGCUGCGGGAAGUUCGUUAAACCUUAUCAUUUAGAGGAAGGAGAAGUCGUANCA
RNAcentral lists this ribosomal RNA (330 nucleotides) under uncultured eukaryote. Its description in RNAcentral is "partial 18S ribosomal RNA". It matches the Rfam family "Eukaryotic small subunit ribosomal RNA", at positions 1470 to 1796 of the family's 1831-position model. The record is from RNAcentral.